This 66-nucleotide transfer RNA is filed under the name Vibrio cholerae. RNAcentral's name for it is "tRNA-OTHER". It matches the Rfam family "tRNA". From Rfam's summary of the family: Transfer RNA (tRNA) molecules are approximately 80 nucleotides in length. Lineage: Bacteria; Pseudomonadati; Pseudomonadota; Gammaproteobacteria; Vibrionales; Vibrionaceae. The record is from RNAcentral.
GUGUCGUUAGCUCAGUAGGUUAGAGCAACCCGUAGGUCGCAGGUUCGAUUCCUGCCCGACACACCA